Molecule: non-coding RNA, 449 nt
Filed under: Methylobacterium sp. Leaf93
Lineage: Bacteria; Pseudomonadati; Pseudomonadota; Alphaproteobacteria; Hyphomicrobiales; Methylobacteriaceae
Source: RNAcentral
CACCACGUUGAUAGGCUGGGUGUGCAAGCGCGGUGACGCGUUGAGCUUACCAGUACUAAUCGCUCGAUUGAACUUGAUCGCUCUUGUGAUCCAUGUCCGUGACUUGGUUCGGCAGCCGCAAGGCUGGCAAAGCCAAACGGACCGGUCAGAGCAAACGAAAAGACAACACUGCUUGCCGAACGCCCUGUCCUGCGCCGGUCUGGUGGUUUGAGCGGUGUGCCCAGAACCCGAUCCCAUCUCGAACUCGGCCGUUAAACACACCAGCGCCCCGCAGUGCAGCGUAGCUACGUAUGGACGGGAAACCGCUGAAGGCAUCUAAGCGGGAAACCCACCUCGAAACGAGUACUCCCUUGAGAGCCGUGGAAGACCACCACGUUGAUAGGCUGGGUGUGCAAGCGCGGUGACGCGUUGAGCUUACCAGUACUAAUCGCUCGAUUGAACUUGAUCGC